RNAcentral lists this small RNA (908 nucleotides) under Cryptococcus neoformans H99. Its description in RNAcentral is "Cryptococcus neoformans var. grubii H99 hypothetical RNA". Lineage: Eukaryota; Fungi; Basidiomycota; Tremellomycetes; Tremellales; Cryptococcaceae. The record is from RNAcentral.
GUUUGUUUGUUUUUUUUUUCCUUUUUUUUGGUGAAUUCCAGAAUUCAGAGACCGAAGGUUUCGUGGCCCAUAACACUAUAUAUCUGAUGGGAACGGUCGCAAUUCGAGGCUCCACAAUUGACAGACGUUUCGCAUCCUUCCGAUAGUAUGGUGGUUGGUCGGGUUGCGGUUAGCUGAUGGGAGCGAUCCAGAGAGAAGAGAGUGUUUUUCUCUCCCCAUGAUCACUUUCCACCGGAUACCUCACCGGCGUACGAAUCACCAUUGCCAUCGGCUGAUAUCUGCUUUUCAUGUAUUAUGCCGUCGGAUAGCGCUUUAGAUCUCUUUUUGCCACCUACACUGUCACCGCUCUGCUGUAGAAUGAUGGAACGUACAUGGAGAGGGCAUAAUAGACGAGGUGCAUUUGGGUAAUGGCUGGUGGGCUAAUACUUUAUGAUGGACGGAGAUGCAAUAGGACGAUCUGCAGCGGAGCCUAACUGAAAGGACCGAUGCGGUCAGGUGUGGCUUCGUUCUUGGUUGUUUACCAAUGACGAAUGGUGUUGAGAUUCGCAACAAGGUGGGAAGCAGAAAUUUAUGUGUAGAAAGUUCGGAAUUCACUCUCCGAUAACUUCUCCUUUUGUUUUCUUUGAAUUGAUAGUACUUUUACCAGAGUACACGUUUGAAUUCGUUGUACAGCCCACGGUCCGUCCGUUUUAAUGCCAACGAAUUAAUAGAAAGGCCGAAAGCUUAUCAUCGGCAGGAGUCGUCGUAGGGUUGUCGCUCUUCUCCGCCAAUCUUAUCUAUAUUAUAUACUGAGCUCUUAUAUUGCGGCUGUUAUUUACGCUAGUAGGUGUUAGUACGUAAAAGUUGAUCGCCCCCCCAAUACGUUCCUAUGCCAAUCUCUUUACUCCGUUAUGCACGAUUAAACUAUG